Molecule: ribosomal RNA, 262 nt
Filed under: uncultured prokaryote
Description: partial 16S ribosomal RNA
Rfam family: Archaeal small subunit ribosomal RNA
Source: RNAcentral
CCGGGCUAGGGGGCGGAAGAGGCCGCCGGUACUCCGGGGGUAGGGGCGAAAUCCGUUAAUCCCCGGAGGACCACCAGUGGCGAAAGCGGGCGGCCAGAACGCGCCCGACGGUGAGGGGCGAAAGCCGGGGGAGCAAACCGGGCUCAGGUCGGCGUUGCGCAGACAAUCUAAUCAUCCAGUCCCACCACGCGCGCCAACCCCCUCAUCUUUACCAAGCCCACCUGGCCCGGGCUCAAAGGGGAUUAGAUACCCCCGUAGUCCA